Molecule: ribosomal RNA, 254 nt
Filed under: uncultured bacterium
Lineage: Bacteria
Description: partial 16S ribosomal RNA
Rfam family: Bacterial small subunit ribosomal RNA
Source: RNAcentral
CACGUAGGCACCAAGCGUUAUCCGGAUUUAUUGGGCGUAAAGAGCUCGUAGGCGGUUCGGUAAGUCGGGUGUGAAAACUCUGGGCUCAACCCAGAGAGGCCACCCGAUACUGCUGUGACUAGAGUGCGGUAGGGGAGCGGGGAAUUCCUGGUGUAGCGGUGAAAUGCGCAGAUAUCAGGAGGAACACCAGCGGCGAAGGCGCCGCUCUGGGCCGUAACUGACGCUGAGGAGCGAAAGCGUGGGUAGCAAACAGG